UGGGGAAUAUUGCGCAAUGGACGAAAGUCUGACGCAGCAACGCCGCGUGAGGGAUGACGGCCUUCGGGUUGUAAACCUCUUUCAGCAGGGACGAAGCGAGAGUGACGGUACCUGCAGAAGAAGGACCGGCCAACUACGUGCCAGCAGCCGCGGUAAUACGUAGGGUCCGAGCGUUGUCCGGAAUUAUUGGGCGUAAAGGGCUCGUAGGCGGUUCGUCACGUCGGGAGUGAAAACUCGGAGCUCAACUCCGAGCCUGCUUCCGAUACGGGCAGACUAGAGGUAGGCAGGGGAGAGCGGAACUCCUGGUGUAGCGGUGGAAUGCGCAGAUAUCAGGAAGAACACCGGUGGCGAAGGCGGCUCUCUGGGCCUUACCUGACGCUGAGGAGCGAAAGCGUGGGUAGCGAACAGG
Molecule: ribosomal RNA, 409 nt
Filed under: Fusobacteriota bacterium
Lineage: Bacteria; Fusobacteriati; Fusobacteriota
Also listed under: 1 other name
Description: Fusobacteria bacterium partial 16S ribosomal RNA
Rfam family: Bacterial small subunit ribosomal RNA
Source: RNAcentral